RNAcentral lists this ribosomal RNA (28 nucleotides) under Paxillus involutus. RNAcentral's name for it is "partial 28S ribosomal RNA". Lineage: Eukaryota; Fungi; Basidiomycota; Agaricomycetes; Boletales; Paxillaceae. The record is from RNAcentral.
GACCUCAAAUCAGGUAGGACUACCCGCA